GUGUCAGCCGCCGCGGUAAUACGUAGGGGGCGAGCGUUGUCCGGAAUUAUUGGGCGUAAAGAGCUCGUAGGCGGCUCAGCAAGUCGGCUGUGAAAUCCCGAGGCUCAACCUCGGAACUGCAGUCGAUACUGCUGUGGCUAGAGUCUGGUAGAGGAGAGUGGAAUUCCCGGUGUAGCGGUGAAAUGCGCAGAUAUCGGGAGGAACACCAGUAGCGAAGGCGGCUCUCUGGGCCAGUACUGACGCUGAGGAGCGAAAGCGUGGGGAGCAAACAGGAUUAGAUACCCUGGUAGUCCACGCCGUAAACGUUGGGUACUAGGUGUGGCGUCUCGAUCAACGGAUGCCGUGCCGAAGCUAACGCAUUAAGUACCCCGCCUGGGGAGUACGGCCGUAAGGCUAAA
RNAcentral lists this ribosomal RNA (398 nucleotides) under uncultured bacterium. RNAcentral's name for it is "bacterial SSU rRNA". It matches the Rfam family "Bacterial small subunit ribosomal RNA", at positions 505 to 898 of the family's 1533-position model. The record is from RNAcentral.